AGAGUUUGAUCCUGGCUCAGAACGAACGCUGGCGGCAGGCUUAACACAUGCAAGUCGAACGCACCUUCGGGUGAGUGGCAGACGGGUGAGUAACGCGUGGGAACGUGCCCUUCAGUUCGGAAUAACCCAGGGAAACUUGGGCUAAUACCGGAUACGUGCGAGAGCAGAAGGAUUUAUCGCUGAAGGAUCGGCCCGCGUCUGAUUAGCUAGUUGGUGGGGUAAUGGCCCACCAAGGCGACGAUCAGUAGCUGGUCUGAGAGGAUGAUCAGCCACAUUGGGACUGAGACACGGCCCAAACUCCUACGGGAGGCAGCAGUGGGGAAUAUUGGACAAUGGGCGCAAGCCUGAUCCAGCCAUGCCGCGUGAGUGAUGAAGGCCUUAGGGUUGUAAAGCUCUUUCGGCGGGGACGAUAAUGACGGUACCCGCAGAAGAAGCCCCGGCUAACUUCGUGCCAGCAGCCGCGGUAAUACGAAGGGGGCUAGCGUUGUUCGGAAUCACUGGGCGUAAAGGGCGCGUAGGCGGCUUGAUAAGUCGGGGGUGAAAGCCUGUGGCUCAACCACAGAAUUGCCUUCGAUACUGUCUGGCUUGAGACCGGAAGAGGUAAGUGGAACUGCGAGUGUAGAGGUGAAAUUCGUAGAUAUUCGCAAGAACACCAGUGGCGAAGGCGGCUUACUGGUCCGGUUCUGACGCUGAGGCGCGAAAGCGUGGGGAGCAAACAGGAUUAGAUACCCUAGUAGUCC
Molecule: ribosomal RNA, 740 nt
Filed under: uncultured bacterium
Lineage: Bacteria
Description: bacterial SSU rRNA
Rfam family: Bacterial small subunit ribosomal RNA
Source: RNAcentral